CACGGGUGAGUAACGCGUGGGAACAUACCCUUUCCUGCGGAAUAGCUCCGGGAAACUGGAAUUAAUACCGCAUACGCCCUACGGGGGAAAGAUUUAUCGGGGAAGGAUUGGCCCGCGUUGGAUUAGCUAGUUGGUGGGGUAAAAGACUACCAAGGCGACGAUCCAUAGCUGGUCUGAGAGGAUGAUCAGCCACAUUGGGACUGAGACACGGCCCAAACUCCUACGGGAGGCAGCAGUGGGGAAUAUUGGACAAUGGGCGCAAGCCUGAUCCAGCCAUGCCGCGUGAGUGAUGAAGGCCUUAGGGUUGUAAAGCUCUUUCACCGGAGAAGAUAAUGACGGUAUCCGGAGAAGAAGCCCCGGCUAACUUUUUUGCCAGCAGCCGCGGUAAUACGAAGGGGGCUAGCGUUGUUCGGAAUUACUGGGCGUAAAGCGCACGUAGGCGGAUAUUUAAGUCAGGGGUGAAAUCCCAGAGCUCAACUCUGGAACUGCCUUUGAUACUGGGUAUCUUGAGUAUGGAAGAGGUAAGUGGAAUUCCGAGUGUAGAGGUGAAAUUCGUAGAUAUUCGGAGGAACACCAGUGGCGAAAGCGGCUUACUGGUUCAUUACUGACGCUGAGUGCGAAAGCGUGGGGAGCAACAGGAUUAGAUACCCUGGUAGUCCACGCCGUAAACGAUGAAUGU
RNAcentral lists this ribosomal RNA (679 nucleotides) under Agrobacterium sp. A2. Its description in RNAcentral is "bacterial SSU rRNA". It matches the Rfam family "Bacterial small subunit ribosomal RNA", at positions 100 to 816 of the family's 1533-position model. Lineage: Bacteria; Pseudomonadati; Pseudomonadota; Alphaproteobacteria; Hyphomicrobiales; Rhizobiaceae. The record is from RNAcentral.